GUAGGUGAACCUGCGGAAGGAUCAUUAUUGAAAUAAACCUGAUGAGUUGCUGCUGGUUCUCUAGGGAGCAUGUGCACACUUGUCAUCUUUAUAUCUCCACCUGUGCACCUUUUGUAGACCUGGAUAUCUCUCUGAAUGCUAGCCAUUCAGGUUUGAGGAUUGACUUCAUGCCUCUCCUUGUAUUUCCAGGCCUAUGUUUCUUUAUAUACCCAAUGUAUGUCAUAGAAUGUAAUCAAUGGGCCUUUGUGCCUAUAAACCUAUACAACUUUCAGCAACGGAUCUCUUGGCUCUC
This 292-nucleotide unclassified non-coding RNA is filed under the name rhizosphere metagenome. RNAcentral describes it as "partial ribosomal RNA internal transcribed spacer region". The record is from RNAcentral.